UAGCCUGAAAUGAUGUUAGGAAUUCAUGUCUCUUCUCUGAGAUGCAUCGUGGAGACAGCUGGAUGCAUUUCUGAUCAGGCUU
Molecule: small nucleolar RNA, 82 nt
Filed under: Egretta garzetta (little egret)
Lineage: Eukaryota; Metazoa; Chordata; Aves; Pelecaniformes; Ardeidae
Description: Small nucleolar RNA SNORD111
Rfam family: Small nucleolar RNA SNORD111
About the family: The members of this family belong to the C/D class of snoRNAs which contain the C (UGAUGA) and D (CUGA) box motifs. Most of the members of the box C/D family function in directing site-specific 2'-O-methylation of substrate RNAs.
Source: Rfam by way of RNAcentral